Molecule: ribosomal RNA, 408 nt
Filed under: uncultured bacterium
Lineage: Bacteria
Description: partial 16S ribosomal RNA
Rfam family: Bacterial small subunit ribosomal RNA
Source: RNAcentral
GACGAACGCUGGAGGCGUGCCUAAUACAUGCAAGUCGAGCGAAGCGGCGGAUGGGUGAGUAACGCGUGGGUAACCUGCCCUUACGUCUGGUAUACCAUUUGGAAACAGAUGCGAAUACCGGAUACUUAAGGAUUGACCUGCGAUGCAUUAGCUAGUUGGUAAGGUACCGGCUUACAAAGGCGAUGAUGCAUAGCCGAGUUGAGAGUCUGAUCGGCAAGAUUGGGACUGAGACACGGCCCAAACUCCGACGGGGGGCAGCAGUAGGGAAUCUUCCACAAUGGACGAAAGUCUGAUGGAGCAACGCCGCGUGAGUGAAGAAGGUUUUCGGAUCGUAAAGCUCUGUUGUUGGUGAAGCGGUAAUCAACCAGAAAGUCACGGCUAACUACGUGCCAGCAGCCGCGGUAAUUC